RNAcentral lists this small RNA (28 nucleotides) under Bombyx mori (domestic silkworm). RNAcentral describes it as "ovarian small RNA-25743". Lineage: Eukaryota; Metazoa; Arthropoda; Insecta; Lepidoptera; Bombycidae. The record is from RNAcentral.
UCAGGUAUUGUACGUGCAUUUAAUGCCC